CCCGCACAAGCGGAGGAACAUGUGGUUUAAUUCGAUGAUACGCGAGGAACCUUACCCGGGCUUGAAUUGCAGAGGAACAUAGUUGAAAGAUUAUGGCCGCAAGGUCUCUGUGAAGGUGCUGCAUGGUUGUCGUCAGCUCGUGCCGUGAGGUGUCGGCUUAAGUGCCAUAACGAGCGCAACCCUUAUCAUUAGUUACUAACAGGUCAUGCUGAGGACUCUAGUGAGACUGCCGUCGUAAGAUGUGAGGAAGGUGGGGAUGACGUCAAAUCAGCACGGCCCUUACGUCCGGGGCUACACACGUGUUACAAUGGGGGGUACAGAGGGCAGCUACCGGGCGACCGGAUGCCAAUCCCAAAAACCUCUCUCAGUUCGGAUCGAAGUCUGCAACCCGACUUCGUGAAGCUGGAUUCGCUAGUAAUCGCGCAUCAGCCACGGCGCGGUGAAUACGUUCCCGGGCCUU
RNAcentral lists this ribosomal RNA (460 nucleotides) under uncultured Bacteroides sp. Its description in RNAcentral is "bacterial SSU rRNA". It matches the Rfam family "Bacterial small subunit ribosomal RNA", at positions 920 to 1382 of the family's 1533-position model. The record is from RNAcentral. Lineage: Bacteria; Pseudomonadati; Bacteroidota; Bacteroidia; Bacteroidales; Bacteroidaceae.